RNAcentral lists this ribosomal RNA (114 nucleotides) under Oopsacas minuta. The record is from RNAcentral. Lineage: Eukaryota; Metazoa; Porifera; Hexactinellida; Lyssacinosida; Leucopsacidae.
UACGGCCAUACCAUGUUGGCAACACCAGUUCUCGUCUGAUCACUGAAGUUAAGUAACAUUGGGCCACGAUAGUACCACGAUCGGAGACGGCGCGGGAACACCUGGUGCUGUAGU